RNAcentral lists this ribosomal RNA (1385 nucleotides) under uncultured bacterium. RNAcentral describes it as "16S ribosomal RNA". It matches the Rfam family "Bacterial small subunit ribosomal RNA". The record is from RNAcentral.
UUCGCCCUUAGAGUUUGAUCCUGGCUCAGGAUGAACGCUGGCGGCGUGCUUAACACAUGCAAGUCGAGCGGAGAUAAAUUGAAAGCUUGCUUUUAAUUUAUCUUAGCGGCGGACGGGUGAGUAACGUGUGGGCAACCUGCCUCAUACAGAGGGAUAAUCAUGUGAAAACGUGACUAAUACCGCAUGUCGUUUCGGGAGGGCAUCCUCCUGAAAGAAAAGGAGCAAUCCGGUAUGAGAUGGGCCCGCAUCUGAUUAGCUAGUUGGUGAGAUAACAGCCCACCAAGGCGACGAUCAGUAGCCGACCUGAGAGGGUGAUCGGCCACAUUGGGACUGAGACACGGCCCAAACUCCUACGGGAGGCAGCAGUGGGGAAUAUUGCACAAUGGGGGAAACCCUGAUGCAGCAACGCCGCGUGAAGGAAGACGGUUUUCGGAUUGUAAACUCCUGUUGUUGAGGAAGAUAAUGACGGUACUCAACAAGGAAGUGACGGCUAACUACGUGCCAGCAGCCGCGGUAAAACGUAGGUCACAAGCGUUGUCCGGAAUUACUGGGUGUAAAGGGAGCGCAGGCGGGAAGACAAGUUGGAAGUGAAAUCCAUGGGCUCAACCCAUGAACUGCUUUCAAAACUGUUUUUCUUGAGUAGUGCAGAGGUAGGCGGAAUUCCCGGUGUAGCGGUGGAAUGCGUAGAUAUCGGGAGGAACACCAGUGGCGAAGGCGGCCUACUGGGCACCAACUGACGCUGAGGCUCGAAAGUGUGGGUAGCAAACAGGAUUAGAUACCCUGGUAGUCCACACUGUAAACGAUGAUUACUAGGUGUUGGAGGAUUGACCCCUUCAGUGCCGCAGUUAACACAAUAAGUAAUCCACCUGGGGAGUACGACCGCAAGGUUGAAACUCAAAGGAAUUGACGGGGGCCCGCACAAGCAGUGGAGUAUGUGGUUUAAUUUGACGCAACGCGAAGAACCUUACCAAGUCUUGACAUCCUGCGACGGACAUAGAAAUAUGUUUUUCCUUCGGGACGCAGAGACAGGUGGUGCAUGGUUGUCGUCAGCUCGUGUCGUGAGAUGUUGGGUUAAGUCCCGCAACGAGCGCAACCCUUAUGGUCAGUUACUACGCAAGAGGACUCUGGCCAGACUGCCGUUGACAAAACGGAGGAAGGUGGGGAUGACGUCAAAUCAUCAUGCCCUUUAUGACUUGGGCUACACACGUACUACAAUGGCGUUAAACAAAGAGAAGCAAGACCGCGAGGUGGAGCAAAACUCAGAAACAACGUCCCAGUUCGGACUGCAGGCUGCAACUCGCCUGCACGAAGUCGGAAUUGCUAGUAAUCGCAGAUCAGCAUGCUGCGGUGAAUACGUUCCCGGGCCUUGCACACACCGCCCGUCA